Molecule: long non-coding RNA, 443 nt
Organism: Oncorhynchus tshawytscha (Chinook salmon)
Lineage: Eukaryota; Metazoa; Chordata; Actinopteri; Salmoniformes; Salmonidae
Source: Ensembl
GGUAAAGCCAGACGGCCAGCAGAGAGAGAGGGGUGGUAAAGCCAGACGGACAGCAGAGAGAGAGGGGUGGUAAAGCCAGACGGCCAGCAGAGAGAGAGAGGUGGUAAAGCCAGACGGCCAGUAGAGAGAGAGGGGUGGUAAAGCCAGACGGCCAGCAGAGAGAGAGGGGUGGUAAAGCCAGACGGACAGCAGAGAGAGAGGGGUGGUAAAGCCAGACGGACAGCAGAGAGAGAGGGGUGGUAAAGCCAAACGGCCAGCAGAAAGAGAGGUGGUAAAGCCAGACGGCCAACAGAGAGAGAUGGGUGGUAAGGCCAGACGGACAGCAGAGAGAGAGGGGUGUUAAAGCCAGACGGACAGCAGAGAGAGAGAGGGGUGGUAAAGCCAGACGGCCAGCAGAGAGAGAGGGGUGGUAAAGCCAGACGGCCAGUAGAGAGAGAGGGGGG